Molecule: ribosomal RNA, 519 nt
Filed under: uncultured eukaryote
Lineage: Eukaryota
Description: SSU rRNA
Rfam family: Eukaryotic small subunit ribosomal RNA
Source: RNAcentral
AGGGCACCACCAGGAGUGGAGCCUGCGGCUUAAUUUGACUCAACACGGGGAAACUCACCCGGCCCGGACACCGGAAGGAUUGACAGAUUGAUAGCUCUUUCUUGAUUCGGUGGAUGGUGGUGCAUGGCCGUUCUUAGUUGGUGGAGCGAUCUGUCUGGUUAAUUCCGAUAACGAACGAGACUCUAGCCUAUUAAAUAGACGUCGGGUUCUCUGCACUCGACGGUCUUCUUAGAGGGACAAGGUGCUUUUAGCACCGCGAAACAGAGCAAUAACAGGUCUGUGAUGCCCUUAGAUGUCCGGGGCCGCACGCGCGCUACACUGAAGGAAGCAGCGUGUAACAACCUUGUUCUAACGAACUGGGCAACCCGUGGAACUUCCUUCAUGAUUGGGAUAGGGGUUUGCAAUUGUGCCCCUUGAACGAGGAAUUCCCAGUAAACACUAGUCAUCAGCUAGUGCUGAUUACGUCCCUGCCCUUUGUACACACCGCCCGUCGCUACUACCGAUUGAAUGGUUUAGUGA